UCAUAACAUUAAGGCAUCCGAGAGGGAGGGAAACGACCAUGUGGGACUCCAUUUUCUCCUUCCCUUCGUUUAUAACGUGGGCGACGAGCAGAAGCGGAAGAGGCGCCAUAUUUCAUCCAAUACUUCUUCCUUGUCUACAUUUCCCCAAAGAUGUGCUUUAAGUGUUCAAAGUCAGUUUUCGUCGGUAUUACUUUAAUUAUCUACUAAUCUCAACAAUAGAUUCGUUGAAAGUUGAUUCCAUUUUGGUUUUACUCUAUCGAGGCAUCAAUUGUUUGAUCUCUUUCGAUGAGAAUGUUGAUCUAAGCCAGAUUAAUUUUCAAACUGGUAUUGGUCUUCCAAAACUUCAAAUGAAUUCUUGAAGGUCCUGGUUGAAUUUUAUUCUUGUUUUCACGUAUGAUUUUAAGAAACAUUAGAUUUUAGUCAAAUUUUAAAAAAUUUAGAUGUAUGCUUUUGAUGGCUUUUCUCGAGUUAGUUACGUUUGAAGGGGAAAAUGUUUGCAUAGAAUAGAUGAUAAAGAAUGGAGUGGGAAUUGAUUAGUUUUUUAUAAUACAUUUGUUAAUUUGUACUGUAAAGAAGAUAAGUUGGAGGCUGCAUUUAAGCUGUUGGACGAGGUAGAGUCGUCUUCAGUCUUGGUUGUCUGUUGUGUUCCCCAUAAGGUGAAAUCCGUAUCUCGAGUCUUGCUUAUAUAGUUUCAAUAUCUCCGACCUAGAUACGAGCACGCCGAGCUUUUCAGCGAGAAGCG
This is a long non-coding RNA of Cucurbita maxima (winter squash), 742 nucleotides long. RefSeq lists it as uncharacterized. The record is from RefSeq and is a predicted model, not a curated record. The transcript has 2 exons. Lineage: Eukaryota; Viridiplantae; Streptophyta; Magnoliopsida; Cucurbitales; Cucurbitaceae.